CCAAGUGGACCCAGUAAGGUCAGGGAAGGCGGGAAGAGGCUAGUCGGCGCCUUUGCUGGCUGCGACCAGGAGGGUGCAGCCCCCUAGGGAGGUCCUGGCUCUCCUGCCAUGCUGCCCUCCCCUCCCUCCCUGGUAGGAGUCCUUCUCCCAGGCCCAUAUUUGCACAAAUGCUUGCCUCGCUGCUCACUCCAGAGCCCCAGCCAAGAGGUGCUAUUUUAAGAUCCCUGGACGGGAACAUUGUUGGUGGGAACAGCCCCAGCCAGCAAGCUCCCAGUUCUCAAAAAAGGGAAAGGCCUGGGUGAAUGGGCGGCCUCUGGGGUGUGCAGAGGGGCUGCCACGUCGACAUGACCCUCUGCCCAGGCCAGGUGCCAGCGUCUCCUCCCCACAGGGGGAAGUCAAAGAAAUAAGCCCUCCUCCUGUGGGGAAAGCACGGCAGACUUCAGGCAAUGGUGGUUGGACAUUUGCCCUGCCCCUUAUUAUAUGGUCAUGUCCACCCCCCUCACUUCAGUGGGCCUCCGUUUCCUCACGGGGUUGUUAAAAUGCAUUAAUCAUUAAAAUUAUUGUUUGCCUGGC
RNAcentral lists this long non-coding RNA (573 nucleotides) under Homo sapiens (human). RNAcentral's name for it is "HSALNT0330166". The record is from RNAcentral. Lineage: Eukaryota; Metazoa; Chordata; Mammalia; Primates; Hominidae.